Molecule: long non-coding RNA, 967 nt
Filed under: Selaginella moellendorffii
Lineage: Eukaryota; Viridiplantae; Streptophyta; Lycopodiopsida; Selaginellales; Selaginellaceae
Description: long non-coding RNA (SMOE_LNC002234)
Source: RNAcentral
UGUGUGCGUUGAGCAUAGCAUCGAAAAGAAAGAGCGUCUUCAAACGUUGAGAGUUUCAACACGAAUUCUUAAUCGCCUCUAGCCUAGAGAAUACCUCUUAGCUCGUUGCAAGCAGCUUCGCUUUCUUGUCUCCAGCAAAUCUCUCUUGUUUCGUUGUCUUACUCUAAACGAACUUACCUUUACCUUGCGAGGCGAGAGUGGACUUGAUCCGUCGCUGAUCCUUGACAGGCCCUGAUCGUUGUUUUCAUUGAGGUUGGACCAUUGUCAGGUAGAACUUCAGCUGGAUUUAAGUUCUGAAGAUCGCAGUUUCCCAACGUUGUUUCUCAGCUCGCAGGUCUUGCGUUGAGCGCAGCAACAACACAACUCAAAGCUCCAAAACGUUGACACAAAAUCUCUCCAAUCCAGUAGCAUUUCUCUUCUUGGCACACGCUGUGACAUGGCGUUUUUCAGUUCUUAUCGUCGUUGAGCAGCACCCUUCAUGACAAGAAAUUAGAACAAAUCGAAACACACGCGAACCUGGCAACGUGAAACUAAGUAUCGUUGAUUGUUAGUUUUGUUCGUAUUCACACAGCGUUGUCCACAUCGGUGAGUUUCCCUUCGCGUUGAGAGUUCCUUGGCCCGUUGUCUUGCACUUUGCUUGUUUGAGUUGUUUGUUGUGUCACUGGCCCUUUUGCGUUGCAAUCGAAAAGAAAGAGCGCGUUGAGAGUUUCAACACGAUUUCUUGAUCGCCUCUAGCAUACCUCUUAGCUCGUUGCAAGAAGCUUCGCUUUCCAAAUCUCUGUCUUACUCGCUUAUUGCUAACGCAAAGAAAAGCCCUACCUAAACGAACUUACCUUGCGAGGGUGGAGAGAGGCAAAGCGGCCUACCAUGGGCAGAGGGGAAGGAUCGGCGACCACCAACCCCAACCCCAAGAUCCGCGGCAUCCACCAUCACUGCCCUAGCCCUUUAUCAUCGAUGAACUCUAAAC